Molecule: ribosomal RNA, 431 nt
Filed under: Baiami sp. CG291
Lineage: Eukaryota; Metazoa; Arthropoda; Arachnida; Araneae; Stiphidiidae
Description: partial 16S ribosomal RNA
Source: RNAcentral
UUCUAAUAUAAAUUUUUAUUAGUAAAAUCUGCUCAAUGAAUAUUCAAUAGCCGCAAUUCUGUGCUAAGGUAGCAUAAUCAUUUGUUUUUUAAUUAAAAACUAGAAUGAAAGAUUUAACUUUUAAAUUUCUAUUUUAUUUCAAAUAAUAAAAAUUAUUUUAAAUAUUAAAAAAUAUUUAUUAAUAAAAAAGACGAUAAGACCCUAUCGAAUUUAACUUUAGUUUAACUGGGGAAGUUAAUUAAAAAAAUUUUAAUAAAUUAUUAAAUGAUCCAAAAAAUUUGAUUAUAUAAUCAAAUUACCGUAGGGAUAACAGCGUAAUAAAUUUUUAAAGUUCUUAUUAUAAAAUUUGUUUACGACCUCGAUGUUGAAUAUUUUUCUAAUAAAUGCAAUAAUUUUUAUAAGAAAGUCUGUUCGACUUUUAAUUUUUUACA